UCGUGAUGCCGAAUGUGUGCUCGUGGGUC
This 29-nucleotide non-coding RNA is filed under the name Homo sapiens (human). Lineage: Eukaryota; Metazoa; Chordata; Mammalia; Primates; Hominidae. The record is from RNAcentral.